GACGAACGCUGGCGGCGUGCUUAACACAUGCAAGUCGAACGGUGAACCUCUUCGGAGGGGCUCAGUGGCGAACGGGUGAGUAACACGUGGGCAACCUGCCCCCGGCUCUGGGAUAACUCCAAGAAAUUGGGGCUAAUACCGGAUGUUCACCGCUUCUCGCAUGGGUGGUGGUGGAAAGGGUUUCCGGCUGGGGAUGGGCCCGCGGCCUCUCAGCUUGUUGGUGGGGUAGUGGCCUACCAAGGCGACGACGGGUAGCCGGCCUGAGAGGGUGACCGGCCACACUGGGACUGAGACACGGCCCAGACUCCUACGGGAGGCAACGGUGGAGAAUAUUGCGCAAUGGGCGGGAGCCAGACACGACGACGCCGCGUGGGGGAUGACGGCCUUCGGGUUGUAAACCACUUUCAGCAGGGACGAAGCGCUAGUGACGGUACCUGCAGAAGAAGCACCGGCCAACUACGUG
This 463-nucleotide ribosomal RNA is filed under the name uncultured bacterium. RNAcentral describes it as "partial 16S ribosomal RNA". It matches the Rfam family "Bacterial small subunit ribosomal RNA", at positions 28 to 507 of the family's 1533-position model. The record is from RNAcentral.